AUGGACAGCGAGCUGGCUGAUUUUGCUGCUUCUUACUUCGGCGAGGAGGAAGCCGUCAAGAAGCCUGACAGCAGUCCAUCCGCAGGAGAGCGGAAGGUAUUGAUUUUACACAGGCCCACAAUCACACAGGAUCCCCCAUUCCUGAAUCCCCCUACUUAUGGCUACCCGGACGGCGGUGGCGACCAGCCAAGCUUCGUCCUCAUCGAGCCACACGCCUACUUUGCCGACCGCCUCAACGCCACCACCGCCGACUGCGGCUUGGAGGGUCUCGGUCUCCGGGGGAAAAUCAAGGUCACCUUCUGCACCGCCCAACCGCCGCAAGUCUCCUACCUCUGCGUCCAUGCCACCGACUACGACCACACCGCGUUCGCCUACCCGCCUCACAUAGUCGCCACAGAGACUGAGGGCGGCCUCGUCCUUCUAUCCGUCGUAGUCGGUGGCCGCCCAUCCUAUGCCUCGCCUCGCCUCAAACAACACUACUUUGUCUACAACGCAAGCGUCCCUGAGCUCAAGCACAUCAAGCAGCCGGGCGACGACCACCCAGUCAACGAUCACUCCUUUGCCAUUGUGAGCAAUGGCAAACCUGAUUGCACCUUCGUCCUUGCCGCACAAGCUGAUAGGUUUGGGCAUGGCAAUCCUUCUCACCUCUGCCUGUAUCAAUCUGGUACCAACUCCUGGAGCAAAGUGCUGGUGAAUGUCGAUUCAGUCCCCUACCAGCUCACCACAUACAAGGCAAUCACCAUAAAAGGAGAUUUAGGCCUAGUAGCCUGGGUUGAUCUCUCACAUAUGAUCACCUUCUGCAACGUGCUGGACAAAAGCCCCAAGCUCCGUUUCUUAAGACUACCGACCGAGCCGCAGUAUGCAAUUGGAUCGCCGGCUGUUCGGGAUGUUUCCCUCCUUAAUGGCUCCAUCAGGUUUGUUGAGCUGCUGCACCACAACCAUGGUUGGAAGGCCACAAUAUGGAGCAUCAAGACUGGUGUCUUCUCCAAAAAGGCUUGGCACAUCCAUCAUGAGCUUGAGCUUGAUUCCUCUAAUAUACCUGAACCAUCGCUGCCUAAGCUGAACGUCCAUGAAGGUGUCACAGCUCAGCCAACCUUGUCGACUCUCGACAUUGGCCUGCCCAAGCUGAGUCUCCAAGAUGAUUGCAUUCUUUACCUCCUAGCCAAGAUUGACUAUCGUGACAUGGAACACACAGCAUGGGUGCUUGCUGUUGACAUGAAGAACAAGACUGUCAAGAGAGUGGCCGAGUUUAGCCCCAAAAGGUCUAUCGCCUUGUCCACCGGCUACGAUUCAAGUAGGAUCUCCAAAUAUCUCAAAGUUGGUCCAGGUAAAGGCGUGAAUACGGAAAUGACCUGUGAUCCCCCCCUUGCAAGAAGCUGA
This 1380-nucleotide ribosomal RNA is filed under the name Triticum aestivum (bread wheat). Its description in RNAcentral is "partial small subunit ribosomal RNA". Lineage: Eukaryota; Viridiplantae; Streptophyta; Magnoliopsida; Poales; Poaceae. The record is from RNAcentral.